GAACUGCCUGCCUCCAGAGGGAAUCUCCAACUGCCUCUGGAUGAUACUUGAUACUUUUAUGAACAAACACAAGAUUAACCUGUCCAAGCUGCACUGCUGUUACAGUGGCUGUGUUCACAUCCAGCUGAGCCACUGGAAGAUGGUCAGACCCACCAGCUGCAAUGAUUUGAUCACGCAGUUCAAGCUCAUAAUGUUCAAGAGGUUCCAACCAGAAGAUAAAUAUCAUGGGAGGGUACAAGAAAUACAUUCUCCAGAACCAGCAGACGUACCAGAGCAGCAGAUAUUUUCUAAUGAAGGAAGAAUAAAAAAG
Long non-coding RNA from Alligator sinensis (Chinese alligator), 310 nucleotides. RefSeq lists it as uncharacterized. NCBI's taxonomy places the organism in Eukaryota, Metazoa, Chordata, Crocodylia, Alligatoridae. The transcript has 3 exons. The record is from RefSeq and is a predicted model, not a curated record.